Molecule: long non-coding RNA, 227 nt
Organism: Lethenteron reissneri (Far Eastern brook lamprey)
Lineage: Eukaryota; Metazoa; Chordata; Hyperoartia; Petromyzontiformes; Petromyzontidae
Source: RefSeq, a predicted model, not a curated record
UGCUGGAGCGAAACCGGAGUCUGCACGAGGCCAACGCCCAGCUGAGCAGGGAGCUGCAGGUGUCUGUGGAUCACACGGCGCACCUGCGUGAGAAGCUCAUCCUGUCGGAGAUGGAGCGCCAGAAGCUGCUGGCGCGCUUUGCCGAGCUGAAGGAUCAUGAAGCGUGCCGGCUUGACAUCAUGUCCCUAGUGGACACGCAGACUGAUGAGGGGGGGCUCAGGCAGCAG